Non-coding RNA from Sus scrofa (pig), 3790 nucleotides. Lineage: Eukaryota; Metazoa; Chordata; Mammalia; Artiodactyla; Suidae. The record is from RefSeq and is a predicted model, not a curated record.
AUGUGUGAUGCGGAGGGAAAGGCCUAUCCUCUCUGUUGAGGGGGAACACUGUGCCCUCUUGGUCUUAUAUUGAUAAUUAUCCAUUGCUACUAUCACCAUUCCACUGAGGAGGCCAUGGCCACACUGUGAAUAUACCUGUUUCUUAAUUUAGAUGUCAGGUUCUCUUAGAAAAACAACAUUCGUGGUUUUUCAGUUUAAAAAAGAUUCUAUGAUUUGCCAAUAGUUGAUGGAGAAUUUAUUAAAGAUUAGACAACUGCACAUGUGAUAGUAAAGAAGUAGUCUUUGAAGAAUGCAAGCUUGCAUCUACGCUGAGCCUUAUCUUUGGCCCUAUUUUCCACUUCCAAACAAUAAAACCACUUCCUAAUCUCUCCCAAAGGAGAGCACAGUCUUUAGGGCAUUAGCCUGCUGUGGCCGCCUUUGGCUGGCAAAACAACAAAGCUUUUUUUCCCUUUGCGCCCCCCCCCAUAAUCUUUGUAUUUAAUACAACUGUAUUACAAAUACAAGUUAAUUGUAUUUAAUAUAAAAUCCUACCAUCUAUGAAUAACAGAGCAUAGAAUCAAUGAAUUUUUUAUUGUUUUCCAGGACUCUCUCUUACCCCUCCCCGUUUUCUGUCAACAAAUAACUGAGGAAAGCAGUGGAAAAUACUGCUGUCUUUUUCAGAAAGGCCCUGAUUUCCCAUCCUUAUAAAACAAUUAACAGCCUUGAGGAUGAUAUAAUUAACACAAAUGACUGCUUUUUCUUCAUCCCUCAAAUAAUUAAGGUGUUCCUAAUCCCCACAGUAAAUCCCAAAAUAAAUAUUUCAAAAUAGCAUUGUUUAUUUGGCCUGUUUCUAAAAUCAGCAUGUAUUCACUUUUUUAAGUUAAAAAAAUUCAGAAAAGUAUAAAAAAUAAAAUAGAUGCAUCAUUAAUCUCACUACUAGAAACUACAGUGAACCAUUUAGUAUAUUUCCUUCCAAUUUUUUAUUAAUAUACAUGAAAUUACAUAUAUUUUGGGUCACAAAAUAUACAGUUGUCUACACACAAUAUGUUUUCAGCUAUUUUUACUUACAAUGCUAAGAACAUUUUACCAAGCCAUUAAAUGUUAUUUGAAAGUGAAAUAUUACACUGUUCUUCCAGUUUCCUACCAUAUGGAGCUGCCAUAAUUUAGCUAACUCUUCACCUAUGGUGGGACAUUUCAGUAGUUUUCCAUUUUUUUCUAAUAAGAUCCUAGGAUGAAAAAUAUUAGUUGAUUUAAGAGCUCUGCUUAGAGGAGGAACUGUCUGUACUCAGGAGACAACUGUGAGGAGCUGCUUCUAGUCAUCGAAGAACUCUAACAACAGGAAUAUCAAAUCCAGUUUUAAGUUGUGUUGCUGUGGUUUAAAACAGUCUCCGACCCAGUGGAACGGACCGUGCACCUCUGCUUUGCGAGAGCUCGGAUCUUGGGGAGAGCAUCCUUAGAAAUGCAACAGAAAUAUGCUACUACGUGAUCAUCAGCCCAGAAUCCACAAGAGUCUGAAGCAAUGAGAUUGAAAAGAUCAUAACUGCAGAUGCUGAGGCCUCCAAUGGCUGGAAAAAUCAACUGUAUGCUGCCCACAAGCAUGUAGACCCCCGACUGGUUGGAACCAGAAGGUUGAUGUUGGUGGUGCUGACCCCCAGUGACCUCGCCACCCACCAAUCAGGAAGACGUCCAUGAGCUGACCACGCCCUGCUCCUGGAACUACAGACGCCUGACUACCCGCUCCAAGGGGGCCACAGUCCUUGAGGCACGAGCCUGCCCUCUUUGCCUGGCAAUUAAAGCUACUUUUUCUGUUUCCUCCAACUCUGUCUCCACGUUUCUAUUUGUCAUCAGUAUAGAGAGGUAGCUGAUAUUUCGGCAACAAUACCAGUAAUAAUUUUGGGGUUAUUUUAAUGUGGGUGUCUUAGUUGCUUGACUGUGAGCUGAAGGGCAUUUGGAUGGAGGUGGUGUGGCUCUGUAACACACAAUGUGGUGGCACCAUCUUCUAGAUCUGGGGAGCCCUGGCAUGAAUUGGUAGGUCUAGGAUUGCAGGCUUAGUUAGAUACGGUUCAAAAUGAGGGAUGAGACCCUAUAUGCAGGAAGAUGCUUCAUGAGGCCAUCAUGAAGCUCUUCUUUGAAUCCUUGUAGCCUAUUAAGAUUUAAAUUCCUCAGGCUUCCACUAUUUUGUCUGGUAAACAUACAAAUAACCUCGCAUAGAUGUUGUCUUUAAUUUGGAUCUGUUUUUUCGAUUGUAAUAUGUGGGCACUGUUCGUAUCCAUGAACAUUCAUUUUAUAUUAAAUGUUUAAAAGUUAGUUUUUGCUGCUGUAUAUUUUUCACGCUCUAAUUAGGUAAGAAAUAAUAAAAUUUCCUAUAUGUAUUUUUUCCUUGAAGUUAGCCUGCUUUAUCAGUCAAGCAGUUCUUUUACUGACGAGAUGUCCGCAAUAGACUUUUCUUUAGGGCUGAUGACAAGAAAUAUGAUGGCCACGAAGAUUUUUUUUUCAUGUCCUCAGAAUGCCCUUUUCUAUUUCCAUGUGAAUCUCAUUCCAUAAGGGUUGAAGUAAUUAAUUAACUAAUUUGUAGGUAAUUCUUUCUGACAAGCUAGCCACCUACUUUAGAGGAAGUGUAAAAUGAGCAAUCUAGGAGACAUGCAUUAAAUUCAGUAAUUAAAUUAAAUACCAAAUCAAGGAUUUCCAGGGAUCAUAUUUCUUUUGCAAAGCAAACAGAUGUUUUAUAUAAUUAAUAAUUACACUGCAAUCAUUUAAUUGUAAAUAGUACCUGAUUUUAAAGGUAAUUUAUAAAACAAUGUUCAAUAUCAAAUGUACUUGUGUGUUAGAACCUGAGCAUUUCUCCCAUUAGAUUUUCAGAUGACGGUUUCUCCAUGGAUAUUAUUAAUGAGGAAAUUUUUUCUAGAGUGAAAAGAGACUUUUCCUCUUUCUAAACCUUAGAAGAGAGAAUAUACAGAGGAGUGUAUCAUGCAUACUAAUAUCCUGGGCUAUACUGGAGGUGCGAGAAGAAUCACCAUUUCUGAAAGAUGUUAUCACACAGGAGGAAAGUUAUUGCAGCCUGUCCCCACUGCAGGGGAAGCAUAACCCCAGCUUGGUGAUACAGUCAAAUGCAUCCUAUAUAAUGGUAAUUAGAGGCCACUGCAAGGAUCUCAGCCCCUUGGGAACAGGAGCUUCCUAUGGAAUUGUCACCCUUCCUAUUUUUGCCUGUCACACCUUUAUAUUCAAUGACCACAGUGGUGAGUGGUUCAGUCUGCAAGUGGGUGUUGAAUACUUGCAUCUACAAAUGAGGAAGGAGGUUUGGGUUGGCACUGCAUGUUUCAGAGAAGAGAUUCCCCAGGGAGAAGAGACAAAGUUCGAAGAGGAGAUAGAAGGUGGUGGCCUGAGGAAUGGUGCUUCACUGGUCGGGGAAGAGGAGUGUGGGAAGGAAACCACACAGGGCUGGGCAGAGCCUGAGAACACGGACAGGAGAGACGCUGCUAUGUCAGGCUUCUGACUGGGGAGAAGGAGGAAGGAGCAGGUGAGUUCUCAGGUCUGGGGCUGAGUCACCUCCACAAGGAGCAUCGCCUUCCUUUCCUGGAGGACAGAGCAGGAGGGGCCAGCCUACACAUGGGGACCGAGGUCUGUCUCAGCUUAAAGUAUCACAGAAAACCUUCUCAGGAGAUACAGACGGAUGUGAUGUCGCAGGUGGGAGCUUAAGAUAGGAAUGAAAAGAAUGAAAUAAUGCCAUCUGCAGCAACAUGGAUGGACCUAGGGAUGAUCAUACUAAGUGAAGUAAGUCAGACAAAGAGAGACAAAUAUCCUAUGAUAUUAU